Molecule: ribosomal RNA, 796 nt
Filed under: uncultured archaeon
Lineage: Archaea
Description: bacterial SSU rRNA
Rfam family: Archaeal small subunit ribosomal RNA
Source: RNAcentral
ACUGCUCAGUAACACGUGGAUAACCUGCCCUUGGGUCCGGCAUAACCCCGGGAAACUGGGGAUAAUUCCGGAUAACGCAUAUGUGCUGGAAUGCUUUAUGCGUCAAAUGGAUUCGUCUGCCCAAGGAUGGGUCUGCGGCCUAUCAGGUAGUAGUGGGUGUAAUGUACCUACUAGCCGACAACGGGUACGGGUUGUGAGAGCAAGAGCCCGGAGAUGGAUUCUGAGACAUGAAUCCAGGCCCUACGGGGCGCUGCAGGCGCGAAAACUUUACAAUGCGGGAAACCGUGAUAAGGGGACACCGAGUGUCAGCAUCAUAUGCUGGCUGUCCAGGUGUGUAAAAUACACCUGUUAGCAAGGGCCGGGCAAGACCGGUGCCAGCCGCCGCGGUAACACCGGCGGCCCGAGUGGUGAUCGUGAUUAUUGGGUCUAAAGGGUCCGUAGCCGGUUUGGUCAGUCCUCCGGGAAAUCUGAUAGCUCAACUAUUAGGCUAUCGGGGGAUACUACCAGACUUGGAACCGGGAGAGGUAAGAGGUACUACAGGGGUAGGAGUGAAAUCUUGUAAUCCCUGUGGGACCACCUGUGGCGAAGGCGUCUUACCAGAACGGGUUCGACGGUGAGGGACGAAAGCUGGGGGCACGAACCGGAUUAGAUACCCGGGUAGUCCCAGCCGUAAACGAUGCUCGCUAGGUGUCAGGCAUGGCGCGACCGUGUCUGGUGCCGCAGGGAAGCCGUGAAGCGAGCCACCUGGGAAGUACGGCCUCAAGGCUGAAACUUAAAGGAAUUGGCGGGGGAGCAC